RNAcentral lists this ribosomal RNA (636 nucleotides) under Hawksworthiomyces hibbettii. RNAcentral describes it as "eukaryotic LSU rRNA". The stretch from base 240 to 393 matches the Rfam family "5.8S ribosomal RNA". The record is from RNAcentral. Lineage: Eukaryota; Fungi; Ascomycota; Sordariomycetes; Ophiostomatales; Ophiostomataceae.
GUAAAAGUCGUAACAAGGUCUCCGUUGGUGAACCAGCGGAGGGAUCAUUACCGAGUUCUUUGCAACUCCCAACCCUGUGAACCAUACCAAAGUUUUUUGUUCUCGUUGCUUCUGGCAGGCGGCCCUCCGGGGCACGCAGGCUCCGGUGCCACGUCCGGGUGCCUGCCAGAGGCGGCUUGCUCCAACUUCUAUUCUUUCUUACCUGACCGUCUGAGAACGAUUUUCACAAAUCAAAUCAAAACUUUCAACAACGGAUCUCUUGGCUCUGGCAUCGAUGAAGAACGCAGCGAAAUGCGAUACGUAAUGUGAAUUGCAGAAUUCAGUGAAUCAUCGAAUCUUUGAACGCACAUUGCGCCUGCCAGCAUUCUGGCAGGCAUGCCUGUCCGAGCGUCAUUUCCACCCUCAUGCGCCCCGUUUGCGCGUGGUGUUGGGGCUCUGCUCUCCCGCCCUGGCGCGGGAGAGGCCCUGAAAGCGAGUGGCGGGCCGCCUGGUUUGGCUCCGAGCGCAGUAGAAACGCAUCGUUUUUUUCCCGCUCUGGACGCUGCCGGCGGCGCCCUGCCGUCAAAACGCACAGAUGACGUGCAACUUUUUUAAGGUUGACCUCGGAUCAGGUAGGACUACCCGCUGAACUUAAGC